GUCUAUGGCCAGGCCACCCUGAACGUGCCCUAUCCCGUCUGAUUUUGGAAGCUAAGCAGGGUCGGGCCUAGUUAGUACUUGGAUGGGAGACCACCUAGGAAGACCAGGUGCUGUAGGAG
Non-coding RNA from Pteropus alecto (black flying fox), 119 nucleotides. The record is from Rfam. Lineage: Eukaryota; Metazoa; Chordata; Mammalia; Chiroptera; Pteropodidae.